GGCGGGGGGUGCUGCGGGGAAGGCGGGGGACCCGGGACUUCCAAGUGUGUCUGGUUUCCCGCAGAAUCCAGCCUCUGUCCACGUGAACUCUGCUCUGUCCUCUGGGCUCAUAAUGUUCUGAGACUCUUGCUGCCUCUUUCAUGGAUUCCCCUUCUAUUUCCCUGAGACGACUCACAGGUCACAGAAAGCUGCCUCCCAUCCUUGCGGCUCCAUCAAGGUGCUUUGGAGGCAGGUAAAGCGCAGCCAAAAACAAUCCAUUGAUACACUUGGUGACAUUAAUUGAGAAAAAAACAAUAUGGUCUGGCCAUGGAGGCAUGGUAUCCGUAACAUCCCCCAAAGGAGCUAAAGAAGAAAUCCACAAUUUACCAUGAGCAUUUCUCGUCUGAAGAUUGCCAAGCGAUUCCUCCAGGACAUUCCUCAAGAUCAAUUUCUGUUCAUCCACCUUGUCCUGGGAGGGACAUCAAUGGGUUUCCAUGUCCUUUGGCUUCUGGUUGAGUUCACUCAGUGGAGAACCCUGGCAAGAGGCAGGAAAAGGGGAGGAAGGCUUUAUGAUACAUGUGUUGAAUGUGCAGCAGCCUGACCGGUUUGAAUUUCACCUUCUGUUCACCUUGGAUGAGAGCAGUAAUCAUCACGAUCCCAGGGAACAGCCAAAGGAAGAGAAAAGGCAAAAGAUUUGGACAAGACUCAUGAAGACUAACAGCUCUUGGAUAAUUGAGAGAAGGCAGCUGCGUGAACAGUUUUGAUGCAAUCAUGAAGGCAGGGCCCAGUGCCUGUGGCAUCUGCCUUUUUCUGGAACCAAUCCAUAUUUCCUUGUGGUUUUCUAAGGUGCAGAGAGGGCACAUUGGGAACUUUGCUUGGGGUCUUUUUCACAUCUUAGAGGGAAGGUCCCUCAACAUCUGCAUUGGCGGAGUGUGAUCCUCAUGUCCCUCUGAAUGAUCUGGACUUGAGGUAACCAGCCCCUUCCAGGAAGCUGUCCCAUGAGUGAAGCCUCAGCAGCAGCCUCUGUCAGUCCCUCCCCCACAGAACCUUUGGCUUCCAUUUGACCAGCCUUGACAUCCAGUGUCCAAACACCGAUAAAAUUGAUUCCACUAAGCGUGGGAAAGUCCUGGAGCAUCGAUUGUUUCCUCCUCUGCACCCCCGAUACCCUGGCAUUAGCACUCUCCCAGAAUGUACCUUGCUUGUUUGAUUGGAGGAGGUCAAAGCCCUGAUGAAGAAUGAGUGGAAUUCCACAGGAUUGGAGCAGUCUUGAUAAAUGACAGCAGGGGAUGGUGUGGGGAGGGGAAAGGAUCAGAGGAAGUGUGGAUAAAUGAAUGGCUUAAAAAAUAAUCCACCUUUGCCUCCCCCUUUUCUACCAGUCUGUCUAGUGCUUCAGGGUGAAAAAAAAAAAAAAAA
Homo sapiens (human) is the source of this 1392-nucleotide long non-coding RNA. Ensembl annotates it as SOX9 antisense RNA 1. Its record names the gene SOX9-AS1. The record is from Ensembl. NCBI's taxonomy places the organism in Eukaryota, Metazoa, Chordata, Mammalia, Primates, Hominidae.